This 438-nucleotide ribosomal RNA is filed under the name uncultured bacterium. Its description in RNAcentral is "bacterial SSU rRNA". It matches the Rfam family "Bacterial small subunit ribosomal RNA", at positions 339 to 794 of the family's 1533-position model. The record is from RNAcentral.
GUACGGGAGGCAGCAGUGGGGAAUAUUGGACAAUGGGGGCAACCCUGAUCCAGCAAUGCCGCGUGAGUGAUGAAGGCCUUCGGGUUGUAAAGCUCUUUCGGCGGGGAAGAUGAUGACGGUACCCGCAGAAGAAGCCCCGGCUAACUUCGUGCCAGCAGCCGCGGUAAUACGAAGGGGGCUAGCGUUGUUCGGAAUUACUGGGCGUAAAGGGCGCGUAGGCUGUGCUGUAAGUCAGGCGUGAAAUCCCCGGGCUCAACCUGGGAAUUGCGUUUGAUACUGCGGCGCUGGAAUGCAGGAGAGGAUGGCGGAAUUCCCAGUGUAGAGGUGAAAUUCGUAGAUAUUGGGAAGAACACCGGUGGCGAAGGCGGCCAUCUGGCCUGUAAUUGACGCUGAGGCGCGAAAGCGUGGGGAGCAAACAGGAUUAGAUACCCUGGUAGU